Long non-coding RNA from Aethina tumida (small hive beetle), 500 nucleotides. RefSeq lists it as uncharacterized. NCBI's taxonomy places the organism in Eukaryota, Metazoa, Arthropoda, Insecta, Coleoptera, Nitidulidae. The transcript has 2 exons. The record is from RefSeq and is a predicted model, not a curated record.
GUUUUAGUGAUGUUUUUUCCUAUUUGUUGUUUGUUUACCUGGCGAAUCCGUCCUGGCAUGGAUUCUUUAAGCAGGACGUUGUACGUUUAGACUUAUUGAAGAUCAAGUGUUCUUCUGGUGGGCACGGACCUUGUCUGUAGGUUUUUAGCACCAGAAUUUCAUGAGUUUUAUUACCUGGUCCACAAUCACAGGUCCACGAAUCGUUGUCUUCUGGAUAUAACAUUUGAUUUGGAUCUUUGCAUUUAUCUGGAGCGUACAAGGGCAAUCUUUCCUGCGAAUUCAAUUAGGUUGUUGUUUACAUCGAAAAUGGGAUGAAUUAAAUGAACUUACAGAUUCUCCUCGACUAGUAAGUUGAUUCAAGUUUGCAGCCAAGGAACCACCAAAUAUUAACAUACAAUGUAACAAAAUGUACAGUUUUUCUAAAACAAUUAUUAACAACUAAUCAUGGUAUAAUUUUCAAGCUUUUCUGAGUUAAUUUGAAUAAAAAAACAAUAAUUCAA